CACAAGGCUGUAUUGGCAGCCACAAGCAAAUUUUUCAAGGAGGUGU
This is a non-coding RNA of Podiceps cristatus (great crested grebe), 46 nucleotides long. NCBI's taxonomy places the organism in Eukaryota, Metazoa, Chordata, Aves, Podicipediformes, Podicipedidae. The record is from Rfam.